AACCAGAACAAACCAUGGCUGCAAAGGAAACAAGAUGCACAUAAUCUGAAAUACCUGGCUGGUGUUCUGAAUAAGAUGACAUAAUAUCUCAACUGCAGAAGUACAGUUGGCAUGUAGGGGUUUCAACAGCACAUCUUGAUGUAUUGUACCAAAAGAUUUGCUUACACACCACCUGUUUAUAGGAUGCACAAUCUUCUUGCAGCCAUAGAUUAUAAUAUACAUGCAAAUAGACCAUACAUCACCAACAAGGGGGAUCUGUUAGACUUCAGCGAGUCUGGAUGAAUUAAAGAAGAAGUAAAAGUAUCAUUAUAUGGAUACCAUUUUACAUGAUGCUAUAACUCUGAGAAUUAGUGACAGGGAGGGGAUAUAUAAAAUAGAAAGUUAAAGGAAGAUGACCCCCACAGACUUUCAAGACUUUCAAAACAUUUGGCCCAAGUUAGCCCAAAGCCUACCCGAGCCAUUCAUGAGGAACAUAAAUCAAGAUAUGAAUGACUUUUUAUGGAAAAGAAUGAUAAAUAGUGUAUUACACUGAUUGCCCAACUAUUCAAACAUAUUUAAGCUGACAUUGAAUACCUGGUACUCAUGAUAGUUUUAUGAAAUAUCUUUUUAGAUAUGGGACUGUAUCUAUCUUGUUUCGAAAAAAAAUUCUCUUGAUUCAUUUGUCAUGACUCAAGGUCUGUUUUGAAUAUUUUGUCAGAAAAAAUGACUACUUUUUAUACAAGUGCAAAAUAUUAUCCGAUCUAUUAAACUAUAAGUGCUGCUAUGAGCUUUAAUGUAGUAAAAAAGUUAAAAGUAUUAUUCAAUUAUAUCUUUUGAUAUACAUGUACUAUGUCAUUCACUUUAGCUCAGCUUUUUUUUUUUGAAAAAAAAAAAGAAAUAGAGGUUGCUGCUGUUGCCUUCUGCAAACUUGAACCUUGUUCAUAACUUUUAAAGUUCUUGGUGUAUUGUCUAACCUUGGCCUUCAUUCAUAAUUGACCUUCAAGGUUAAAUGUCUAAAUUUUGGCUUUGCUUGUUAUUUGCUAUUAGUGGCUUUAACUUUAUUGCCCUUUGUUAAUUUUCAUAUUUCAUUUUUGUCUUGGCCAUUUCUCCUAAACUAUAUUGUUCACAAGGCAACACAUCCGACUCGCGGAGAUCUAGUUGUUAUUAGUCCAUGACUCGCGGAGAUCUAGUUGUUAUUAGUCCAUGAAUUGUAGUUACUCAAGAAGUAUUUGACCUAGAGCAAUGAAACUUUACAGGAAUGUUGAACAUUAUGUGUAGUUGUGCACCUGGGUAUUUUCGUCUGGAUUUAGUAUUUUGAGAGUUAUGGCCCUUGACUUAGUAAAAU
Ruditapes philippinarum (Manila clam) is the source of this 1324-nucleotide long non-coding RNA. RefSeq lists it as uncharacterized. The transcript has 3 exons. Lineage: Eukaryota; Metazoa; Mollusca; Bivalvia; Venerida; Veneridae. The record is from RefSeq and is a predicted model, not a curated record.